UGUAAUGAUAUAGGAUGCCCUCUUUUGGA
RNAcentral lists this non-coding RNA (29 nucleotides) under Mus musculus (house mouse). The record is from RNAcentral. Lineage: Eukaryota; Metazoa; Chordata; Mammalia; Rodentia; Muridae.